Molecule: ribosomal RNA, 462 nt
Filed under: uncultured bacterium
Lineage: Bacteria
Description: partial 16S ribosomal RNA
Rfam family: Bacterial small subunit ribosomal RNA
Source: RNAcentral
GACGAACGCUGGCGGCGUGCUUAACACAUGCAAGUCGAACGGUAAGGCCUUUCGGGGUACACGAGUGGCGAACGGGUGAGUAACACGUGGGUGAUCUGCCCUGCACUUCGGGAUAAGCCCGGGAAACUGGGUCUAAUUCCGGAUAGGACUGCGCGGUGCAUGCCGUGUGGUGGAAAGAUUUAUCGGUGCAGGAUGGGCCCGCGGCCUAUCAGCUUGUUGGUGGGGUAAUGGCCUACCAAGGCGACGACGGGUAGCCGGCCUGAGAGGGCGACCGGCCACACUGGGACUGAGACACGGCCCAGACUCCUACGGGAGGCAGCAGUGGGGAAUAUUGCACAAUGGGCGCAAGCCUGAUGCAGCGACGCCGCGUGAGGGAUGACGGCCUUCGGGUUGUAAACCUCUUUCAGCAGGGACGAAGCGUGAGUGACGGUACCUGCAGAAGAAGCACCGGCCAACUACGUG